CCAUCAGCUGGGGUUUCCCGAGGUCAGAGAAUAGCUAUCGAUUAUCCUAUUAGGAUAGUUGCAGAGAAAUAAAAAGGACGUAAAAUAGCAGGGAACCUAUAAACAAAGACGUCAUAACUGGCUGUUGGAGUUGUUAAACGACUUAGCACAGAAAAAGUCGGAAAUGAGCUGGAAACGGAGCAGGCAUUGGCAGCGGUCUUGGUGUGAACAAACUAUCCAAGACUUAACUUCUGUAGAAAUCUGCGCCAAAGAAGAGGCGAGGAUGUGUCCAGCGCACGUGAAGUACAAGGAAUGUCAGCUAUGUUGAUCUUGGGGUUACACCUGGCCCUAAAACGCAUGCCUGAGUUGAUUUCCGCAGCUGCACCACUAGUGACGCGCUGACUCAAAAACGUCUAUUCCGCUGACUAGACAGUCUUCUCGGGAAACCGACAGGAGCUACCAGCUGGAGCUGGCUGCACCCUAGGCAAGAGGUCACAGUGGCGACUGCUCAAGCAACUCAAAGGAAGGUGGGGAGGAAAAGAAAACACGAUCCAAAUUUACAAAUUUAGGAAAACCUUUUGCCCAACUUGGAUUGCCAGGCGGUAUUGGCGGGCGCAAGGCUCAGAGUGGACCGGACCGCGAUCUUGAUGGCCGAGCCUCUGGCGAAUGCUUGUACGCGCACGAGAACCCUGGCUUCAAGGCUCUCGCGGCCGCUUUUUAGUCUCCAAAUGAGCCUAAUUUCGAUUUCCCGGCUAGCUUGAGCUGGCUCAGGAGACUUUGUCCGCCUCGUUGACGGCUGCCUCUCCCCCUUCGCCAAGGCCGGAUCUGGGCGGUCCGUUCCCGUGUAUCUCCUUAGAACCUCUCUGGGGAAGGGGGUGGUGAACAACUCCCAGCUGCCGGUUCCAUUUGUUGCGCCUUUUUCCUUCGAC
This 908-nucleotide long non-coding RNA is filed under the name Mus spicilegus (steppe mouse). RNAcentral's name for it is "lncRNA (ENSMSIG00000025991.1)". The record is from RNAcentral. Lineage: Eukaryota; Metazoa; Chordata; Mammalia; Rodentia; Muridae.